UACGAAGGGUGCAAGCGUUACUCGGAAUUACUGGGCGUAAAGCGUGCGUAGGUGGUUUGUUAAGUCUGUUGUGAAAGCCCCGGGCUCAACCUGGGAAUGGCAAUGGAUACUGGCAGGCUAGAGUGCGGUAGAGGGUAGUGGAAUUCCCGGUGUAGCGGUGAAAUGCGUAGAGAUCGGGAGGAACACCAGUGGCGAAGGCGGCUACCUGGACCAGCACUGACACUGAGGCACGAAAGCGUGGGGAGCAACAGG
RNAcentral lists this ribosomal RNA (252 nucleotides) under uncultured bacterium. RNAcentral describes it as "partial 16S ribosomal RNA". It matches the Rfam family "Bacterial small subunit ribosomal RNA", at positions 524 to 775 of the family's 1533-position model. The record is from RNAcentral.